UGGGGAAUAUUGGACAAUGCGGGAAACCGUGAUCCGGCAAUGCCGCGUGAGUGAUGAAGGCCUUAGGGUUGUAAAGCUCUUUUACCAGGGAUGAUAAUGACAGUACCUGGAGAAUAAGCUCCGGCUAACUCCGUGCCAGCAGCCGCGGUAAUACGGAGGGAGCUAGCGUUGUUCGGAAUUACUGGGCGUAAAGCGCGCGUAGGCGGCUAUUCAAGUCAGGGGUGAAAUCCCGGGGCUCAACCCCGGAACUGCCCUUGAAACUAGGUAGCUAGAAUACUGGAGAGGCGAGUGGAAUUCCCGGUGUAGCGGUGAAAUGCGCAGAUAUCGGGAGGAACACCAGUAGCGAAGGCGGCUCGCUGGGCCAUUCCUGACGCUGAGACGCGAAAGCGUGGGGAGCAAACAGGAUUAGAUACCCCGGUAGUCC
This 424-nucleotide ribosomal RNA is filed under the name uncultured prokaryote. RNAcentral's name for it is "bacterial SSU rRNA". It matches the Rfam family "Bacterial small subunit ribosomal RNA", at positions 355 to 796 of the family's 1533-position model. The record is from RNAcentral.